CGGUGACGACCAGCUUGCUGGUCUGAUCAGUGGCGAACGGGUGAGUAACACGUGAGCAACCUGCCCUUCACUCUGGGAUAAGCCUUGGAAACGAGGUCUAAUACCGGAUACGACGCACCUGGGCAUCUGGUGUGCGUGGAAAGAUUUUUCGGUGGAGGAUGGGCUCGCGGCCUAUCAGCUUGUUGGUGGGGUGAUGGCCUACCAAGGCGACGACGGGUAGCCGGCCUGAGAGGGCGACCGGCCACACUGGGACUGAGACACGGCCCAGACUCCUACGGGAGGCAGCAGUGGGGAAUAUUGCACAAUGGGCGCAAGCCUGAUGCAGCGACGCCGCGUGAGGGAUGACGGCCUUCGGGUUGUAAACCUCUUUCAGCAGGGAAGAAGCGCAAGUGACGGUACCUGCAGAAGAAGCGCCGGCUAACUACGUGCCAGCAGCCGCGG
This 441-nucleotide ribosomal RNA is filed under the name Cellulomonas sp. Its description in RNAcentral is "bacterial SSU rRNA". It matches the Rfam family "Bacterial small subunit ribosomal RNA", at positions 67 to 520 of the family's 1533-position model. The record is from RNAcentral. Lineage: Bacteria; Bacillati; Actinomycetota; Actinomycetes; Micrococcales; Cellulomonadaceae.